UCGGACUUCUGAGUAUUUAAGGGGGAUGCACAGUGAGAAAACAUCGAUCUAGGUCAAAAAUAUCGAUAUUUUAAAAUUAAUUGAUUUUAAUAGUUUAAAAUGUCUAGAAAACGAAUUCCCUAUCAGAAUACUAAAAAAAACUGCGCUUUAUACAUCAAUUUUGUAUUUUAAAAGUAGAUGUAUAAGCAAAAUUUUGAUGUUUUGGUUAAAAAUCAACAUUUUGUAAGCUAAAGUUGAUAAGUUAAUGUACGCUCUUAUCCCUAACAGAUGGUAUCGAUACAAAGGUCUACUUUUCUAGUUCCGAUUAUGAGCAUGGUUUCUCAUUCUAUAAAUAUAAACUUUCAAAAUACGUCACUACCUCUUUUUUUUUCCUAUAUCCUCAUAUACACACUCACUAAGCCAUAUUUACGCAUGCGCACUAUCAAAGCUACAUUGGUAACUAUGACAACAAAAUUUGCACGCAUGCGCACAUGACGUGAACCGGUCCUUCUUCUGUAAACAAAGCUUCCUUCACAUCAACACUCGAUUCAUUAUUCAAACUCAGAAAUGCCAACAAAAGGUUAGAUCUAUAUGUUUGGAAAGAAAAAACGUUACUGUAAGCCCAGAGGAAGACAUGCUUCAAAGACAAAUGCAUAAUUACAAAGCUCUGUUUUGGAUACAGCUGGAUCUGAAGCAGCAACAACGCAGCCUGCAAGUGCAGCUGAACGAAAAAUAAUUCUAACUGCAAUUACUAACGCUGAUAACACCAAUAAGAGGCUGCCUGAAGAUUUCAUAUACGUCAUGAUGAAUUCAAUGGAAUUGACCACAAUGGUCUCCUUGUUGUGCUGUCCACAUUGCUUCGACAAAAAAUUAACCAUGUGCAUCACACAAUCAAAAGGCAUGGCUCAUUUGAUUAAAAUCAAAUGCCUAAAUUGUGAAACAUAUUUGUGGCCUGACUGGACCUCAAAAAAAAGUAAUAAUGUUCAUCUGGAUAUUAAUGUCCGCGCUGUCGCUGCAUUAAAAGAAUCUGGAAUCUCGCAUUCUAAAUUUGAUAGGUUUUGUGGACUUAUGAGUAUGCCCUGCAUGCACAGAAAUACUUAUAACAAUCUAGCUAACAUAGUCAACACUGCUAUAAUUGAAGCUGGUGAAGAAUGUAUGAUUAGGGCAUCUGCUGUUGUGCAGCUGUUGUGCAUGGAAGAAACAUUUCACAACCUCUGACUACAGAUGAUAGAAUAAAUUCAACAGGCUGUCCUGUUAUUACAGUUUCUUUUGAUGGGACUUGGCAUAAAAGGGGCCACUCAUCUCAUUCAGGAAUUGGCAGUUAUUGAUUUUGAUACUGGACUCGUCAUCGACACCGAAGUCCUAUCAAAUUAUUGCUGUGUUUGUGAUUCAAACUCUGCAGAACUAAAUUUUGAUGCCUCUAAGCAUAUGUGUCAAAAAAACUUCAGUGGCUCAGCAAAUGCAAUGGAGGCCGCAGCAGCAUCCAAAAUUUGUUCUCACUCUGUGGCAUCAGAAAACUUGUUUAUGGCAUGAUGCUGUGUGAUGGCGAUAGUAAAUCACAUUCAUCUGCCAUUACCAGCUCAGGAUAUGAUGUAGAAAUCUUAAAAGAGGACUGCAUUAACCACAUCUCAAAAAGAAUGUUUAAUGCUUUGAACAAUUUAAAAAUGUCUAACAAAAAAGAACUAAAUUAUAGGCUUACAAAGCCAAAAAUUGAAAAAAUUACAAAUAACUAUUCCAAAGUUCUGCGCCAAAAUGCUCCUGACAUUCAAAAAAAUGAAGCUGGCUGUUAUGGGCUCAUUUUUUCAUAUGAUGAGCUCAGACCUAGAUCAUAACCACAGGUUGUGUCCUGAUGGCACUACAUCUUGGUGUCACACUUUAAGACAUCAGAGGCACUAAAACAGCCAUAAAAAAAAACAUAAUCAGACCAUCACAUCAGAAAUAGGAAAACUCUUAUUUCCUAUAAUGAAAAGACUAACAGACACAGAUCUGUUAAAAACAUGUUCAAGAAUGGGAACAAAAACGCCAAUGAAUCUUUUCAUUCCCUUAUUUGGCAAAGAUGCCCCAAAACCAGAAUUCGCAACAUUAAAAACUGUAAGGACUGCGACAUACCUUGCUGUUUUAGUCUUCAAUAAUGGACCUGUUGGCAUCAAAUCAGUUUUUGACAUAUUAGGCGUUCCCUGGACACUAAAGAACAUUUCUUCUAGUUAGAAAAAGCAAAAUGUCAAACUACAGCUUGUUGUUAGAAAAAGAAGAUCAAUCGCAUUAGUGUCCAGGAGAAAAAAAAACGAAGAAUUGAGCAUGAGCACCGGGCAGAGGUUCUAGAUGGUCCAACCUAUUGUCACAGUCUUAGUUGACAUUGCAUGAUCUAAAGUUCACGUCAUGUUAAGAGUUUGAAAGACACGUGGAAUUCCUGAUGUAGAAAACAGGAAGUAGAGUGAAUAGAGUUGACUUUGAGCUUCAGUCAGUCUAUAAUAUUUGUCUUGUCACAUGUCUAGAGUACUUCAGGAAGCAAGAACCCAGUAUUACACGACAUUCGUAUUCUGCAACCUUACGCCAUUCAACGUUCAUUGACAUUUUUGGUAGCCAGUAUGUUGUGUUCUAGACACGCACGGACUGAAAACUCAACACCACUCAAGCGAAACCAGUCACAAGUAUUCAAGUAGAUCAUCAUUGAACUAACCUGAGCCUGCACUUUUUCACCGGUUGACCUGACCAGUAUUUACUAGAGUCCACUUUAUCAUUGACCAAUUCGAACUUAACAUCAAUAGCUUGUAUAUUUUAAACCUGGUCAAUGCCUAUUUCUCCACUAUUGUCGACAUCUUGAGAUUUAGCACGACGUGACAUCACCAUCGGCAGAAACCGAAGACAGUUGAUACAUUUGUGUGGGUGAAAAACUGAAGGCGUCGCUCGAAGACAGCUGAUACAUUUGUGUGGAUGAAAAAUUCAAGGCGUCGCCUGAAGACAGAUAAUACAUCGUUUCCACGUGAGCGCUCGUCACCAACUUUUGACACGCUCUUGCAUUGUCGAGGUUUCACCUUACAUUGCUAUACAGAAGGUCCUCCAUUUAGACCUCUGUUCACUUAUGGUCAUUCUAAUUUUUCAGAGACUUUACAUAUUUGGAUUAUCUAAGCUGAAGUUUUCCACUUAAGUACCGUUGGAUUAUUUAUACGAAUGUUCAAGUACUUUUGGAUUAUUGAUCUUUGACGUUGAAUUUGGACUAACUUGUACCUAUUGGCGCUCUCCUAGUCAUCGUUGUACGCCGAAGAAAUAACACGUGCCUGCAUUACUACACUUACCUCUUGGAUUUUGGAUUACCUGUUGGACUUGUGUUAAUUGUAAAGGUCAAGAGGAAAUAUUUUUUGACAUUACUUGAGCAUUUGAGCCAUCUUAUGGCAUAUGACUGGAUUAUUUUACAACUACUUUGAUGCUCACAUUGAUGUGUAUUCUCAAUCAGAUUACUUAGUUACCUUACCCAUGGAUUAUUAUUGAACUACUCAAGCUGUAUUUGUAUUUGACAAGCUACAAGAGAGGAUUAAUCUACAUCAGUCUACAAAAGAAAGUCUGUAAGUUAUAAUUAAGGAUUGAAUAUAUUCAUAUGAUUAAUAAAGUACAUUGAUUUUGCUGUGGUAUAGCAGUAAUUGAAGUUGAUUAUAUAUAGAGUUAGUGAUUGAUAACUCUUGGAACCAUAUUAAAUUGAUUUUCAUUUUUUAUAUUUUCUUACCUUAAAGGGCAGUCGGCGUGGGUCUGUCUUAUGUUUUGAGACUGAAGCGGCACAAUUUAUUUGUUCCAUUCCAUUUCACUUCAUUAGAUAGGGAUCUUUAGGGAUUUUCCUUUUGUUCUCCUAGUCCUAAUAAGGUCCGAGUAGACCAGCCUUGUUCGGUAGGGACUUCUAGAUCAUUUAGAAAUUUUUUGUUUAGUCGUAUUUAGUUUUGUUUGUACAAUCGUAGUGUAAUUUCUCUUCGUAUUCAUAUUGUUUGUUUGUGUAAGUUUUGUAUUUACAUAUCUGUGAUUCUCCUGUCAAAGUCUUCUAUUUAUUAAUUUCUUUUAAAGCAGACUGUAUUGUUAUCUAUAUUGUUUUUGUGUUCGUCACCUAUCCUUUAAUUUAUCUCUUUAUUCUCUCAUUAAUUUAUUUUUUCAUUUCACUUUUUUCACUGCAUAGAACAUGUUACAAAGAUAUAUUUGAAGUAAUAAUAUUGUGUAUAUAUAUGCUACUACAGAAAGUUUAUUUGAAUUAGAGCUUCGUUUUUUCAGCUCUUGUACUUUCGUAUUGAUACAUUUCUAAUAUGAUGAUCAUAUUUUGUGUUGAUACAUUUUGACACAACACUUAUCACUAUUGAUUACUCAUCCAUGAAAUUUAUUGAUGCCAUAUUCUACAUAUAACUUUGAUUGUAUUCAUACACAUGACACUUCAAAAGGUCAUAUGUGUCCAAUUUUUUUCAUAUGUGUAAAAUUUUCAAAUGCACUCAGUCAUAUUGGAACCUGAGUAUGUGACACUAUUUAUUGAAAUGUAUUUUUCAUUUUUUCAAAUGUACAUAACCUUUGUAAAUUGUAUAAAUAUGAUUGUGACAUUGAUCUUCAAUGAUGAAUUUAUUUUUUCCCACCUAUCAUUUUUGAAGACUAUUUGAGCUUAAUUCGAGGCUUGAAACGAUAUACUUGAUGAGAAUGCAAACAAUGAUUUUUUAAGAAUAUUGUAUUGAUAUGAGAAGUAUUGGAGCAUUAUUGAUGGCUCAUGAAGUAAUAUAUAUAAAGUGUGAUGUAAUCACUGAUUUUUUUGAGGAGAAGAUUGUAUUUAAUAUGAGAAAUUAUUGGAGCAUUAUUGGUGGCUCUUGAAGCAAUACAUUUGAUGUGUGAUGUAGACACUGAUUUUUUUAGAAGAUUGUAUUUAAUUUGAGAAAAUUAUUGGAGCAUUAUUGAUGGCUCGUGAAGUAAUAUAUUUGAUGUGUGAAGACAGAUUUUUUGAAGAGAUUGUAUUUCAUAUGAGAAAACCAUUGGAGCACUAUUAAUGGCUCUAAGUAAUAUAUUUGAUGUUACAUAAUGUGAAAAGCUGAUUCAUUUUUUGAGAGAAAAUUGUAACUUAUACAUAUGUUAAAGCAACUUGAGCUCACAGUAAGACAUAUGAGCCUAAUGAAUUAGUUAUCAUGAUAACGACCUUCAUGCUUUAAUAUGCUUAUCACUUUGAUGAUUUAAACAUGUUCUUCAUAAAUCAUUAUUGAAGAAUAUAUUUUCUUGACUUUCAUGAUUUAGUUGCAUUGUCAAAACAUUGUCAUUAUUUUCGUACACAAACCAUUGAGACAACAUACAUAUUUAUUAUAGAGAUAUUUCUCUUGCAUUGAUUUAUUUUAAAGAACAUUGUCAAUAUUUUUCAUCUGACCAUGUAACCUGAUGGGAUAAACUAAGUAUAUUUGUAUACAAGCAUUUUUCAUGGCUGCACAUUCUUUUGUAAAAUUAAUAUUGAAAGCAUUCUUUUGAUAAAUUGAGAAUUUACUUUGAAAUUUUGUGUAAAGAAAAAACACUUGCUUUUUAAGUAAUGUUGACAACUAUGAGUACUGUCCACUCAGAUAAAUAUUUUUUUCAAAUAUUGUAAGAGCAAAUGAGUCCAUAUAUUAGUCUCAUCAGAAUUUUUGAUAGCAUGAUAGAUUAUAGCACACAUUGUACAUUUGUAUAGAUUAUUUUUUCUCUCAAGAGAUGUGACUAUACAUAUAAUAUGAUUAUUACUUAAAUUUUAAAAGAUUUUUUCAAAAUCUUUUUUUGAGGGAAAGGGCGUAAUGUCACAGUCUUAGUUGACAUUGCAUGAUCUAAAGUUCACGUCAUGUUAAGAGUUUGAAAGACACGUGGAAUUCCUGAUGUAGAAAACAGGAAGUAGAGUGAAUAGAGUUGACUUUGAGUUCAGUCAAGUCAAGUUAGUAAGGUCUUGCUCCCGGUCCAGGAAGGUUGGACGUUGCUUCCUGGACUGGUGUAUAUAUAUAUAUGUAUAUAGCAUGAAAGUCGAUGGACUAAUGACUGUUGAUUAAUAAUAUUUGAGAGUUGAUUUCAUUAUGUGCUUAUUGAAUAUUAAGGUAUUAUUCGUAUUUCAAUGGAUAUCUAUAGUUGAAGCUCCAGUGUCACUAGUAGUAAUUGUUCUUAUUGUUACCCUCUAAGAUGCGGACGUGAUUGAUACAUUUGAUACCGCUGCUAUGCGGAUAGGAUUGUUUAUUAUUUCUUGACUUGUAGCACUAACAAGGAGUGCAGUGUAUUAUUAUUGUAGUAAAAUAAACUUCAUGUUUGUCUGCUGAAA
Long non-coding RNA from Biomphalaria glabrata, 6253 nucleotides. RefSeq lists it as uncharacterized. The record is from RefSeq and is a predicted model, not a curated record. The transcript is spliced from 2 exons. NCBI's taxonomy places the organism in Eukaryota, Metazoa, Mollusca, Gastropoda, Planorbidae.